UUAAACUUACACAGUAGUGUAUGUCAAUUAUUUCUCAAUAAAACUGGAAACAAAAAUUCAGAUGUUAGUGCUCCACAGCAAUUUGUACAAUUUAGAUUCGAAUGUCAAAGUAAAGACUUAAUUACCAGGCCUAAAACUUCCUUCCCAUAGAUUUUAAGUAAAAUACAUUUCCCUCUGCGUUAUUGUUGCCAUAUACAGAUAUUGUUGCCAUAUACAUAUGCCAUUUCUGCUUUAAUGAACCACAGUGCGGGGUUGGGAGCAGGGUGUGUAUGUGUGUCUUAACCUUAGAAACAAUGUGAAAAUGCAAAGAGAAAAUAGUUAAAAAAAAUAUUUUCCCUAGUUGCCCCUUUCCCCUCAUCCUUUUUCCUCAUCUGGCUUUCUUUUUAGGUUAGGGAGCAGCUAGUGCUGAUUUGGGCUCUGUUACUUCAGCAAUCUUUUUACUUCCCCCGUUUUGUCCUGAAGGAGACCCUGGAUGAACCUCCGGCCCCCAAGGCCAGGACCUUGCACUUCAGGCACCCCUGCCUUUCUGCAUCUAGAACCCAUAACCUUCACUGUUCGUCCCUAACAGGGGCAUGAUCACACUCCUCCGGAAUGCGGCCCAUGGACACUCAGGCUUUGCCUUACUGUCAACCUCCUUGAAGCCUCGGAUGAGCAUGUGUAUUCUCCAUUUCCACUCUGAGGUUUCUUUCUCCAUCAGCCAGUCUCUGCCUGCAAGUGCUUCAGCCAAACACAGCUACAGAGGAGGGGAGGCAAGAUGUGGCGACCCACCCAGAUGGAGGGGCUGCUGCCCACGAACAGGAACAUAUUUGGUUCUCAUCAUCCUUGCUGAUUAGCCAUGAAGUGCCUGUGCAAGCUACGUGAGUGACGGGGAUGCAAGGCAAAUGCGGCAAAGUUUAGCCCAUCAGGUUCCAUAGACAGGUCUCCCUGCGCAGAACACGAGUAACAAGACAGCACUGAAGACUACAGCUGUUCUCUGUGUCACCUCGCCGUACCGCACAGCUGCUCACCAGGGCGUGGCAUGCCGGGGUUUAAGUCUGGUCGCAUUUCCUUGGGGCUCAGUGAAGCCAACCUCUGUCCUUUGGUGAAACCUGAUCAUUCUUAAUCAGGGAUAUGCUGAACUUCUCAGUGCUAAAAUUUUCCAUAAAUUCCAGCUUCUGAUCGCUUCAGAUGUUCCAGUGACUGGCCUCGAGUAAAUGGAAAAUUCCAAUCUGAGCUGGCUCAAGCGUGCCACAGACACAGGCUCACACAUCAUGGCCACUAACGGGACCCUCCACAUAGGAGCAGUGGGAAAACGCAAACUCCCUUUUUGCCAAAGGGGCAAUGGGACAAUUUCCUGAGGUCAAAUCCUCUUUGGAUGUAUGAAAAGAUUAAAUGUGCAGAUAUAUAAAGACUAGAUCUAAUUACCAAGUUUUAAUUACUUGCUCUCCAGUAUGGAUUUAGGUGUUUGAAAAUAGCUACUAACAGCUGCUUUGCCAAGGUUAACCCAGAUAGCAAGAAGACGCCAGCACUGACUGGCCCUGGACAAACCUUCUCACAUCACAGGCUAAGGGAAGUGAUGUUGGAGCAUGGGACACAAAGCAGUAUCUCCUCUCUGUAGCCGUACAUGCGAGAACAGGAUAGGUACUUUCUUCCCUUCCUACCACUCUAAAGAGAAAAGGAUGAAAGUAGUAGACUGUGAGCAAUUUAAAGAAAAAUUAGAAGGUUAAAAGCCCAAAGAAGAUGGAAAACACCAGCAGAAGAGACAGGCAAAGAAUGUUAAUAAAUUGGCUUCAGCUCCAAAAAUACAAAGAAUUUCAAAGGACCCAAAGCAUUGACUUACUUUAUUUUCAUGCCUGGCAUAAGCGGAAAAAAAAAUCAAAUAAACUGGAAAUUGGGAUCUGAAUUCCAGACCCAGUUCUCCUCCUCUCCUUUCUUCAACUAAAAGUAUUGGUCUCAGUUCUAAAAUGAUCCACUAAAGGCAAAAUUCGAUACAAAUUCUCUGCAAGCCUAGGGUGUAUGACUCAGAACUCCUAUUACUCUAAAAUGCUUUUAAAAUAAUGCAGUUACCAAACGGUCUAGAUUUCUCAACAUAAGUUGCAUUAGAUUUUGCAGACAAGUGUUUGAUGAUUAUUUCCAACUUUUUGGGGAAAGUACUAAUACUUGUCCCUUAUUUCUGAACCAAAAGAAGUAAUAAUUAAGUUACAACCCACCAUAUCCUGCAUCCUCUUUAAUAGGGGAAUAAAAAGUGCCAGUCACUGGAGCACCACAGCAGCAAGCUCUGUAAUAUUAUCUCCAGAGGUCGCUGGAGGGCAGUCAGAGCCAUCAUAUUAGAGGACUUCACAGACCCUGCUUUUGGCACCCUUAGCAUAAGGAGAAUGAAAACAGCCACUAUUCUCAGAGAAGGACAGCAAUGGUGACAAGUGGUCACCAUUUUAAGUGUCCAAAGAAAAUGCUGACCCAGAUUCAAUAAAACACAAAUCAAAAUAUACUUCAAUCAUUACAGAGUCUUAAAUCUAGUACUUGGAAGUUCAUAAAAGGUCAUUACAACUGAAAUCUUGUGCAUGGAGAGAAAAUGCUGUAUGUUUAUGUUUUUCUUUUUUUUUUUUAAGAUUUAAAAAUCUAAUUUGGUUUUAAGGAGCUAAAACAUCUAUUGGUAAAAGGGACAAUACAGAUUUGCCACAAUUUCCUAUGCCAUAUGCUUAGGGUAAUGUCUACGGAACUAUCACAAUACAGUAAGAGGCUCUCACCACGUACGUGAUAAAAAAGUCCGGGAACUGCAAGCUUGCCAUCCCACUCUUCCUGAAGCUGGGCCACGGGGCCUGCCCACCAGAGACGGCGGGGGAGACAGGCCUGUGCUCCACGGAGAACCAGGCAGGCGUGCAUGCACACUUGCAGUUUUCUGACCUUUAAACUGAUCAGAAUUCAAAACAGAAGAAGCUGGGCAGAGGGAGGCAGAGGGAAUGAAAGAAGAAAGGCUCUACGCAACCUGCGUUUUCAGGCCGAAUGCAGGAUAUACUUAGGCAGCACGUGGAGUAUCUUUUAACUGUCUUCCAACUUCUGCCGUCACAGACCAUGUUGUCCUGGAGAAAACACGACGUGGAAAACACGCCCUGAGAAGACUCCUGACUGCUGCGCACUUCCCCACCGUGGCUGUCCAAUCACGUCACCAGAAAGGGUCCCAGAAUCAAGAUGUAUUCUUUCUACUAAGCUCAUGCUUAUGGAAAUAGCCAGAUAACUGCCACGAGAUAAUUAUGAUCUGUAGUUAUUAUUGUUGGAGAUCGUCAGGGACCACAGGGAAGAACACAGCUUGAUUUUCAAAGCCUAACCGUGAAGAAGCAAGACAAAGACUUGCUGUGACUAGUUAAAAUGAAUCCACGUGGCACAGACGUCACAAAAGAGAAAUCUCAGAGGGGAAAAAUAUACCCCAGUGGCCUGAAACAGCUCUUCCCAGAUAGAAGUUAUAAGCUCAAAUUGCCUGAUCUUUCAGGAAUCAGAAGGUUGGAUGGGGCCCGAGGCCAGUCAAGUGUCCAGGGCAGAGUGAAGCCUGAAGUCUGCUGCGUGUACCUUUAGGUGUGUCAAGUACACAACUUGCUUCUUUUCGCCCAACGCAUCUUCGGCCCAAACUAUUAAGAUCUUUCCAAUUCCUGGAAUUACCUUCUAAGAUCAGUCUUCUAGGACAGUCAAUAGCUCUAUUUCACCCUGGAGCAUGAGGAUCACAGUGGUAUCUUUCAUUUGUAAAUAAAGGGGGGGGGGAUAUUUUGUAACAAAAAAAGAAAUAGAAGACUACAUUUGAAGGCAUAAUUUUAUCAUGUUCACUAUUAGGAGAAAGGGAAUCGCAAUAUAUCCGUUCUCUUUCUCCUUUUGUUGAAAUCUAAACAGCACCCUACUGUAUGCAAAAGAUUCAGUAAAAGAUUUGUUUAGUACAGCAAAAGGCUGGUAUUGCUAUUAUUCCUGAAUACACGAAGUUUCUUGCCUAUUUUUCAUUUCAAUUGCUAAUUUGUUGAGCACACCCUUUCCACCCACUUUAUAGGAGUUAAAUCUCAGCCAUAGCUCCCUCUUUACCCUGUUGACACAUCCUACCUAAAGACAUAUGCAUAUCACAUUGCUCUACUCACUCUCACAAGAACGUAGGGGCAAAUUAAUCCAAAGCAUAAGGUUGACUGUAAAUCCAAGGGAGUUUACUAUAUACAGCAAACUAUAUGGAUUUACUGUGUGACAUAUCUAUAUGUCAGUGAUUUGUUUAACCUGACACACAUUACUACAUUCUGUUAGCCUGCUAGUAAUAUUACAAACAACAUGUUAC
RNAcentral lists this long non-coding RNA (4282 nucleotides) under Canis lupus familiaris (dog). Its description in RNAcentral is "lncRNA (ENSCAFG00845004407.1)". The record is from RNAcentral. Lineage: Eukaryota; Metazoa; Chordata; Mammalia; Carnivora; Canidae.